CCCUAGCCUCGAUUGCAGCAUUUGUUUGAGCUCAUUUUUUUGGUUCGGGGGCGCGGCUUCGCCGCGCCCCCGAACCAAAAAAUUGCGAGUACGGAAAGCGAGAAUUGCU
Molecule: unclassified non-coding RNA, 109 nt
Filed under: Chryseobacterium formosense
Lineage: Bacteria; Pseudomonadati; Bacteroidota; Flavobacteriia; Flavobacteriales; Weeksellaceae
Description: Flavo-1 RNA
Source: RNAcentral